CCAAACUUGGUCAUUUAGAGGAAGUAAAAGUCGUAACAAGGUCUCCGUUGGUGAACCAGCGGAGGGAUCAUUAUAGAGUUUUCUAAACUCCCAACCCUAUGUGAACUUACCAUUGUUGCCUCGGCGGGGCCUACCCUGUAUCUUCCCCUUUCGGGGAAGUUACCCUGUAGCCCGCCGGUGGAUUUUCAAACUCUUGUUAUUUUAAUGUUAUCUGAAUGUCUUAUUUUAAUAAGUCAAAACUUUCAACAACGGAUCUCUUGGUUCUGGCAUCGAUGAGAACGCAGC
This 285-nucleotide unclassified non-coding RNA is filed under the name uncultured fungus. RNAcentral's name for it is "partial contains small subunit ribosomal RNA, internal transcribed spacer 1, and 5.8S ribosomal RNA". The stretch from base 1 to 73 matches the Rfam family "Eukaryotic small subunit ribosomal RNA", at positions 1759 to 1831 of the family's 1831-position model. Lineage: Eukaryota; Fungi. The record is from RNAcentral.